GCUCUCAGAGUUCAGACACAGCACUGUCCGGCAUAGAGCUCUCAGGUGUGUUCCAGCCGCUGCAGCCUCAGCCAGACAUCGACUCUUCCUCUUCAUCAUCUGCAAAUGCAGUGCGAGUUGAUCCGAGCGCUGGAGCACAGGACUGGAGCGAGGCGAUGAACCGGAUCCUCCAGCACCUCUCUGAUCAGUUAUCCAUCAGACGGAGUGAGCAGGAAGCUCGU
Long non-coding RNA from Carassius carassius (crucian carp), 221 nucleotides. RefSeq lists it as uncharacterized. The record is from RefSeq and is a predicted model, not a curated record. Lineage: Eukaryota; Metazoa; Chordata; Actinopteri; Cypriniformes; Cyprinidae. The transcript is spliced from 3 exons.